CCUUCGGGGUACUCGAGCGGCGAACGGGUGAGUAACACGUGAGUAAUCUGCCCCAGGCUCUGGGAUAGCCACCGGAAACGGUGAUUAAUACCGGAUACGACAACCGAUUGCAUGAUCUGGUUGUGGAAAGUUUUUCGGCCUGGGAUGUGCUCGCGGCCUAUCAGCUUGUUGGUGAGGUAAUGGCUCACCAAGGCUUCGACGGGUAGCCGGCCUGAGAGGGUGACCGGCCACACUGGGACUGAGACACGGCCCAGACUCCUACGGGAGGCAGCAGUGGGGAAUAUUGGACAAUGGGCGGAAGCCUGAUCCAGCAACGCCGCGUGAGGGAUGACGGCCUUCGGGUUGUAAACCUCUUUCAGCACAGACGAAGCGCAAGUGACGGUAUGUGCAGAAGAAGGACCGGCCAACUACGUGCCAGCAGCCGCGGUAAUACGUAGGGUCCGAGCGUUGUCCGGAAUUAUUGGGCGUAAAGGGCUCGUAGGCGGUCUGUCGCGUCGGGAGUGAAAACCAGGUGCUUAACACCUGGCCUGCUUUCGAUACGGGCAGACUAGAGGUACUCAGGGGAGAAUGGAAUUCCUGGUGUAGCGGUGAAAUGCGCAGAUAUCAGGAGGAACACCGGUGGCGAAGGCGGUUCU
RNAcentral lists this ribosomal RNA (635 nucleotides) under uncultured bacterium. Its description in RNAcentral is "bacterial SSU rRNA". It matches the Rfam family "Bacterial small subunit ribosomal RNA", at positions 77 to 728 of the family's 1533-position model. The record is from RNAcentral.